CACAACCAGAGUCUCCAUGUGGUAGAAAACCCUAUGGCCCAUCUUUUCUUCAUACUAAAUAAGUCAGUGACCACUUAUUUCAUUUUAUCCCACGUACUUCGCCUCUCAAGUGGGUAGUUUGCACUUUCGUGAUGUGAAGAGGCUAUAACCAUUCUGCAUGUAGUUUUUUGAAGAGCUUAUGCAAUCAAUAUAACCAUGUUGAUGGUAGAGAACUGAGCCACAGCGACCUCUCACCCGGCCAACAUGAGAAAGCUGACCUGUGCAGGAGGAGCAGCACCUCCCCCACGUCCACAGCAGGACAAUAUUUGGUUUAUUUUGUGUUCAUACUGUAAUUCUACAACUCUUUCCUGUGGACAAAUCUGGUACAGUGUGGAGAACACUUUGAAAUAAGAUGAAAUUGUAUAACCCUAAGUGUGCUGUAACCCUAAAAGUGUGCUGUGACUUUAAGAGUGCUGUAGCC
Molecule: long non-coding RNA, 460 nt
Filed under: Heterocephalus glaber (naked mole-rat)
Lineage: Eukaryota; Metazoa; Chordata; Mammalia; Rodentia; Bathyergidae
Description: lncRNA (ENSHGLG00000046445.1)
Source: RNAcentral